RNAcentral lists this ribosomal RNA (513 nucleotides) under uncultured bacterium. RNAcentral's name for it is "bacterial SSU rRNA". It matches the Rfam family "Bacterial small subunit ribosomal RNA", at positions 36 to 518 of the family's 1533-position model. The record is from RNAcentral.
CUGGCGGCGUAGCCUAAUACGAUGCAAGUACGAACGGUCUUUCUAUGGAAGCUUGCUCCACUGAGAAGAUAGUGGCGAACGGGUGAGUAACACGUGGGUAACCUGCCCAUAAGAGGGGGGAUAACGAUCCGGAAACGGGUGCUAAUACCGCAUAGUUUUCUUGAUCGCAUGAUUGAGAAAGGAAAGACGGCCUUUGUGCUGUCGCUUAUGGAUGGACCCGCGGCGUAUUAGUUAGUUGGUGAGGUAACGGCUCACCAAGACGAUGAUACGUAGCCGACCUGAGAGGGUGAUCGGCCACAUUGGGACUGAGACACGGCCCAAACUCCUACGGGAGGCAGCAGUAGGGAAUCUUCCGCAAUGGACGAAAGUCUGACGGAGCAACGCCGCGUGAGUGAAAGAAGGUUUUCGGAUCGUAAAACUCUGUUGUCAGAGAAGAACAAGUUGGAGAGUAACUGCUCCAGCCUUGACGGUAUCUGACCAGAAAGCCACGGCUAACUACGUGCCAGCCGCCGC